Molecule: long non-coding RNA, 1202 nt
Organism: Clupea harengus (Atlantic herring)
Lineage: Eukaryota; Metazoa; Chordata; Actinopteri; Clupeiformes; Clupeidae
Source: Ensembl
CAUCCCCAGGUGACUUAACACACCACAUCUGCACAGGGCAAAAGACAUACAGACACACACACACACACACACACACACACACACACACACACACACACACACACAUACACACACACACACACACACACACACACACACACACACAGUACAAUGGCAUUUCCAUUUAAAAUUAAGAAUAAUUUGCUUUUGUGCCAAUGGAAAGGUCAUUACAAUAUAGCCAACUACAGCCGCCAAUGCAGACCAGAAUUGAUUUUCCUCAAUGAGCAGUGGGAGGUCAUUUUUAGCAGGGCUGUGUUAAGGACAUGGAGGCUGUGUUAGCAGACUCUUACUUCCUCUCUCUUUUAAUAACCAGCUGAUUUACUAGCAGAAGGACACACCUGUAAUAGUAGAUCUCCCAUCUAAUCUAAUCUUUAAUAUUGUAAUGGAUUGGUUUGUGAAUCCACCUUUAAAUCCUCAUAUAUACACAAAUACAAAGCUACACAGACCCACACUAACUCUGUCUCUCUCACUCACAAUUCCACAUGCACCAAAAAUAGGCGACACACACACACACACACACACACACACACACACACACAUUCUCUUCCACCUCCCUCAAGGUCUGUUAGUACAAAUAAUGAAUAAUCAAUAUGCACUCAAGUCAUAGUUGAGAAUAUGAUUGCAACAUGUGAUUUAUUCCCCUGGCGGUCUGCUCCUGUUUAGCACUUUCCCGGUAGUCAAUGACCGGUCCAGCCAGCUAAAGACUGCUGAUGAUGAUUGAUCAGAUGGAAUAAUGGAACUCUGAUUUCCCUCUUGACUUUCCUUGUUUUUUUUGUGGCUGUGAUGUUCCUGGGUUCCAGCCGUGCUAGCCGUGCUAGCCGUGCCCAUUGCACAGGCCAUUGCCUUAGGUCUGUUUAGUAUGUGUGUGGUUCCAGAGAGUGAGAAGGUGAGAGAGUGGCCGAGAGACACAGAGAAAGAGAGAGUGAGAAGGUGAGAGAGUGGCCGAGAGACACAGAGAAAGAGAGAGUGACACAGAGAAAGAGAGAGUGACCGUGAGACACAGAGAAAGAGAGAGUGACACAGAGAAAGAGAGAGUGACCGUGAGACACAGAGAAAGAGAGAGUGUGAAGGUGAGAGAGUGGCCGAGAGACACAGAGAAAGAGAGAGUGACACAGAGAAAGAGAGAGUGACCGUGAGACACAGAGAAAGAGAGAGUUAGAAGG